Hibiscus syriacus is the source of this 371-nucleotide RNA transcript. It is a transcript of the gene named protein transport protein Sec61 subunit gamma-1, with no coding region annotated. NCBI's taxonomy places the organism in Eukaryota, Viridiplantae, Streptophyta, Magnoliopsida, Malvales, Malvaceae. The transcript is spliced from 4 exons. The record is from RefSeq and is a predicted model, not a curated record.
UUGUGUAUUAGGUAAUUAACACUCAAUUUUGGUUGAGAGAGAAGAGAAAUGGACGCCCUUGACAACGUCGUAGAUCCUUUGAGAGACUUCGCCAAGGACAGCGUCCGCCUCGUCAAGCGUUGCCACAAACCCGAUCGUAAAGAGUUCACGAAGGUGGCGUUCCGUACAGCGAUUGGUUUUGUAGUGAUGGGAUUCGUCGGAUUCUUCGUUAAGCUCAUCUUUAUUCCUAUCAACAACAUCAUCGUCGGCUCCGCUUAGGUGAUUUGCCUAAUUUGAUUUUGCAUGCAAGUUUUACAUGUUAAAAAAAAUGGGAAAUGAUCAAAUUUUGAAUCAAUAGCUAUUUCCAUAUUACUGAGUGAGCUAUGUGGCUU